UAUAUCAACAAAAGGCGAACAUACCUAGCUGGUUUUAAAAUGCAUUUAACUGAAAUCGUGGUUGAAGAAUUGAAUUAGUAAAAAGAAAAUUGGACAGAAUGUUGUACGAAAAGACGUCCCGACAGGUGCAAAUACAGAGACGGACAGUGGCAGUGAGAGCAGCUCGAGCGACGAACGGAAGCCUGAGACCAGGAGGAAGUUUCGGACAGAGUGGCUGGCCACAUUUUCUUAGCUUAGGAACAAAAAUGGCGAGUGCUAUUGUAUCACCUGCGAUACUAAUUUGGUAAGCCACUACAGUCACCUCAAA
Long non-coding RNA from Rhagoletis pomonella (apple maggot), 307 nucleotides. RefSeq lists it as uncharacterized. Lineage: Eukaryota; Metazoa; Arthropoda; Insecta; Diptera; Tephritidae. The transcript has 3 exons. The record is from RefSeq and is a predicted model, not a curated record.